RNAcentral lists this ribosomal RNA (305 nucleotides) under uncultured bacterium. Its description in RNAcentral is "partial 16S ribosomal RNA". It matches the Rfam family "Archaeal small subunit ribosomal RNA", at positions 455 to 760 of the family's 1478-position model. The record is from RNAcentral.
ACAGCAGCAGCCGCGGGAAUACCAGCACCUCGAGUGGUCAGGAGGUUUAUUGGGCCUAAAGCAUCCGUAGCCGGUUGCAUAAGUUUUCGGUUAAAUCUAUGCGCUUAACGUAUAGGCCGCCGAAAAUACUGUGCAGCUAGGGAGUGGGAGAGGUACACGGUACUCGAUAGGAAGGGGUAAAAUCCUUUGAUCUAUUGAUGACCACCUGUGGCGAAGGCGGUGUACCAGAACACGUUCGACGGUGAGGGAUGAAAGCUGUGGGAGCAAACCGGAUUAGAUACCCCGGUAGUCCCUGUCUCUUAUAC